Molecule: long non-coding RNA, 482 nt
Organism: Peromyscus eremicus (cactus mouse)
Lineage: Eukaryota; Metazoa; Chordata; Mammalia; Rodentia; Cricetidae
Exons: 3
Source: RefSeq, a predicted model, not a curated record
UCCCUUCGGUCCCCGGCCUCCGCUCCCCGGUCCCCGAUAACCCCAGCCGCCCGGCCCCUGGUCCACGCCCCCCGCCCCUGGCCGACGGCCCCCGGCCCGGCCCCGAACCUGGGCAGUUCCUUGACCAGGCUCUGCAGCGCUGACAGCAGCUGGUAGUGCCGCUCCUGCUGCCGGGCCCGGUCCGCAGCCUCGUCCCCGGCGCCCGCGUAGCGGUCCAUAGCCCGGCCGCCCGCCGCCCCCCAGUCCGCCUCUCCCGGACGCUCCGGCGAGCCCCGCCCCCUACGUCAAUCUCCGGCGCGGAUGACGCAUGCGCCCCGCCCCUCCGUUGAACCGGAAUAUCCAACUGUCACACCUUCCCCAACCGAUGUACAAAAGUUCCCGAAUUCCUUGGCGAAGGUGGAACCUGGAAUACACAGACACGGUAUGUAUUCUGGAGUCACUGAAGACAUGUUUUAGAUGUGAAUUGUGUGAAUACUGGUUGU